AGAUAACAAAAAAUUUAAAUGAAUGAACAAGGAACUACCAGCAGGAAAAGUAAUUAUGAAAUGCAGCAGAAAUUUGAAGCAUGACAUGUUAAUUCUAGAAUAAUAGGUAUUUGAUAAAUUAGAUAAGAACACAAGUAGUCAACUCCCAAAAGGGCUCCAAGACACAGUAAAGAUGUUGAAAAACAUUUUAAAAUAAGUGCAUUUAAAAAAGAAAUGUAAGGUUAACAUGUUAUAAAAGAAACAAUGAGAAUUGAGCAAUUUUUUUUUUACUGAUAUUGACAUAAAGGAAUCACCAUGGAAGUAUGGAUGCAAAACGAAAGGAUUAAGAUGUUGACAGAAUUCUCCCACCAAAAUAUUCAAACAGAUGAGCCUGAUUCACAGGUUAUUAUUUAUUCAAGAUGAAUCUCAAUGAGGUAUUUGAAAGUAAGUGAUGUGAUUAUACUUCAAAUUUACAUUGUGUAAAUAAAAAUAUGGGUUUGUAAAGGAUCAGUUACAUUGAUCCUUUUAAUCCAUUCCAUUAAUUUUACAGGCAAG
This 534-nucleotide unclassified non-coding RNA is filed under the name Hevea brasiliensis (rubber tree). Lineage: Eukaryota; Viridiplantae; Streptophyta; Magnoliopsida; Malpighiales; Euphorbiaceae. The record is from RNAcentral.